This 344-nucleotide long non-coding RNA is filed under the name Sarcophilus harrisii (Tasmanian devil). RNAcentral describes it as "lncRNA (ENSSHAG00000022613.1)". Lineage: Eukaryota; Metazoa; Chordata; Mammalia; Dasyuromorphia; Dasyuridae. The record is from RNAcentral.
GCUCCAUGUUUGUUUCUGCUGCUCUGAGGUGAUCUUCUGUUUUACUUUGGGAAGGAAAUUUAGAGAGUCAAAAGUCUUCUGACGUAUUCCUGAUAUUGCUAAAAAUUCUCUUCAUAGGACUGAAUACAAUCCUAUUUGCAAUUCAAGACUCCAGAGGAUCUGAAGUGUCAUCCUUAAGGCUGUUGUCCUUCUCUAGGCCACUGAUCCUCCUCAGUAAACAGGUACGAUUAGAUUAAAUGAUUCCAAGUAACCUUUCCAGCUUCAAAUCCUACAAAUCCUAAAAUCCAUACAACAUAGAAUGACACAUGGCUCAUUGAAGAAUGUAUCUCCAAGUGAAACACAAA